This 1066-nucleotide long non-coding RNA is filed under the name Setaria viridis. Its description in RNAcentral is "long non-coding RNA (SVIR_LNC001555)". The record is from RNAcentral. Lineage: Eukaryota; Viridiplantae; Streptophyta; Magnoliopsida; Poales; Poaceae.
AGAAAGAUAAAUAUAUAAAGGAGGCGAAGCAAACCUGGUUAGAAAUACGUUCAGACUCAUCACGAGCUAGUUGACCACCUCUCAUCUUGAAGAAAUUCAUCAUAAAGUUCUUCGCAAUAUUUUUUGGGAGAAUAGGCAUGUGUUUAGGAGAAAGCUCCAUGUUCGAAUGCCACAUGUGGGAAGAUUUGCCAAGAACACAAACAUCUUUCUUGCUUAGUGACUUCUCCGACUAAGGGGCAUCCAAGGGGAACAAGGAACACAUAGAAUGUGCAAGGGUUCGGACACCAACGGCAGCACUAAGUUCACCAUACAUCUUUCCACUCUUGCAUAAUCAUUCAGCGCAAACACUAACCCAAUCAUAAAAUUUAAGAACAGUGCAAGAUCCAACAAUGAACUAGGAGGGAGUCAAAUUAAAGAAUUCGAGGGCUCGAAUUAUGUCAUCGUGUAGACCCUUGGCGCUCUUGACAUGACAAGCAUGAUACUUAGAGAAAUCCUUUUGCAAUUUCUCAAGAUCAUCAGUUCUCUUUGAUAGAUCUUUCAUCAGCGCUUUGAUGUUUUUCUUCAUGGCAUCACAAGAUGAAAGAGCAUGGCUAAGCUCCUCGCCUAGUGUUUUCAUCCCAUCUUGAGCUUUGGCAACUUCAUCAGAUUUAGCUUUACCAACGGUUAGCUACUUGCUGAGGGUUUUCUUUGAAGCCAACUAGGAUUCCAAUUCAGCAACACGAGCUUGAAGCGUGGCAACCUCAGAAGAUGAAGUUGCACUUUCCUUUUCUUUGGCAAUCUUGCAAGAGAUACAUCGGGCAGCAACGAAACUCUUCAGAGCAAGAUCCCCACAUGCCUCAACCAUAGUUUCCAAAUUAAGAUUACCAAAUCUGUCUUUCUCAUGCGAGAAGAAAAAACUAUCACCGACCUUGAAAAGAAACUGUCGUUCAUGACCACCACUCCGAAGGGUCCAAAAGUCAAUCAUUUGACCACCAACAAGCUUAGCAUCCUUCGGUGCACUGAUAGGAAGAGCGAUUUCUUUUAGGUCCUCUAGGGUGACCAAGUAACCAUUGCUGUCAGGAUCCAC